AGAAUCUUAGGUUAACCAUCAAACCAGAAGCCUUCAAAGCUUUUAAUGGAAAGUUUAUUUUUCAGAUUCUG
RNAcentral lists this transfer RNA (71 nucleotides) under Bolma rugosa. Its description in RNAcentral is "tRNA-Trp". Lineage: Eukaryota; Metazoa; Mollusca; Gastropoda; Trochida; Turbinidae. The record is from RNAcentral.